GCCACGCCCGCUCAAGAAACUACGAAAGGAAUUGAGGGGGCCCCGCACAAGCGGUGGAGUAUGUGGUUUAAUUCGAUGCAACGCGAAGAACCUUACCAGGCCUUGACAUGCAGAGAACUUUCCAGAGAUGGAUUGGUGCCUUCGGGAACUCUGACACAGGUGCUGCAUGACUGUCGUCAGCUCGUGUCGUGAGAUGUUGGGUUAAGUCCCGUAACGAGCGCAACCCUUGUCCUUAGUUACCAGCACGUUAUGGUGGGCACUCUAAGGAGACUGCCGGUGACAAACCGGAGGAAGGUGGGGAUGACGUCAAGUCAUCAUGGCCCUUACGGCCUGGGCUACACACGUGCUACAAUGGUCGGUACAAAGGGUUGCCAAGCCGCGAGGUGGAGCUAAUCCCAUAAAACCGAUCGUAGUCCGGAUCGCAGUCUGCAACUCGACUGCGUGAAGUCGGAAUCGCUAGUAAUCGUGAAUCAGAAUGUCACGGUGAAUACGUUCCCGGGCCUU
RNAcentral lists this ribosomal RNA (504 nucleotides) under uncultured Pseudomonas sp. RNAcentral's name for it is "bacterial SSU rRNA". It matches the Rfam family "Bacterial small subunit ribosomal RNA", at positions 903 to 1382 of the family's 1533-position model. Lineage: Bacteria; Pseudomonadati; Pseudomonadota; Gammaproteobacteria; Pseudomonadales; Pseudomonadaceae. The record is from RNAcentral.